This 301-nucleotide ribosomal RNA is filed under the name uncultured bacterium. RNAcentral's name for it is "partial 16S ribosomal RNA". It matches the Rfam family "Bacterial small subunit ribosomal RNA", at positions 509 to 807 of the family's 1533-position model. The record is from RNAcentral.
CAGCAGCCGCGGGAAUACCGAGGGUGCAAGCGUUAAUCGGAAUUACUGGGCGUAAAGCGCGCGUAGGUGGUUUGUUAAGUUGGAUGUGAAAUCCCCGGGCUCAACCUGGGAACUGCAUCCAAAACUGGCAAGCUAGAGUAUGGUAGAGGGUGGUGGAAUUUCCUGUGUAGCGGUGAAAUGCGUAGAUAUAGGAAGGAACACCAGUGGCGAAGGCGACCACCUGGACUGAUACUGACACUGAGGUGCGAAAGCGUGGGGAGCAAACAGGAUUAGAUACCCCUGUAGUCCCUGUCUCUUAUAC